CCUUGACAUGCAGAGAACUUCAGAGAUGGAUUGGUGCCUUCGGGAACUCUGACACAGGUGCUGCAUGGCUGUCGUCAGCUCGUGUCGUGAGAUGUUCGGGUUAAGUCCCGUAACGAGCGCAACCCUUGUCCUUAGUUACCAGCACGUUAUGGUGGGCACUCUAAGGAGACUGCCGGUGGACAAACCGGAGGAAGGUGGGGAGUGACGUCAAGUCAUCAUGGCCCUUACGGCCUGGGCUACACACGUGCUACAAUGGUCGGUACAAAGGGUUGCCAAGCCGCGAGGUGGAGCUAAUCCCAUAAAACCGAUCGUAGUCCGGAUCGCAGUCUGCAACUCGACUGCGUGAAGUCGGAAUCGCUAGUAAUCGUGAAUCAGAAUGUCACGGUGAAUACGUUCCCGGGCCUU
Molecule: ribosomal RNA, 405 nt
Filed under: uncultured Pseudomonas sp.
Lineage: Bacteria; Pseudomonadati; Pseudomonadota; Gammaproteobacteria; Pseudomonadales; Pseudomonadaceae
Description: bacterial SSU rRNA
Rfam family: Bacterial small subunit ribosomal RNA
Source: RNAcentral